AGAGUUUGAUCAUGGCUCAGAUUGAACGCUGGCGGCAUGCCUAACACAUGCAAGUCGAACGGUAACGCGGGGGCAACCCUGGCGACGAGUGGCGGACGGGUGAGUAAUACGUAGGAAUCUGCCCAUUUGUGGGGGAUAACCCGGCGAAAGCCGGGCUAAUACCGCAUACGCUCUACGGAGGAAAGCGGGGGAUCGCAAGACCUCGCGCUAAUGGAUGAGCCUACGUCGGAUUAGCUAGUUGGUAGGGUAACGGCCUACCAAGGCGACGAUCCGUAGCUGGUCUGAGAGGACGAUCAGCCACACUGGGACUGAGACACGGCCCAGACUCCUACGGGAGGCAGCAGUGGGGAAUAUUGGACAAUGGGGGCAACCCUGAUCCAGCAAUGCCGCGUGUGUGAAGAAGGCCUGCGGGUUGUAAAGCACUUUCAGAGGGGAAGAAAAAAUCGGAUCUAACACAUCCGAGCUGACGUACCCUAGAAGAGACC
Molecule: ribosomal RNA, 485 nt
Filed under: uncultured Methylococcus sp.
Lineage: Bacteria; Pseudomonadati; Pseudomonadota; Gammaproteobacteria; Methylococcales; Methylococcaceae
Description: bacterial SSU rRNA
Rfam family: Bacterial small subunit ribosomal RNA
Source: RNAcentral